UUUGUAUAUGUACGAGUUAUGAUGCGAGUUACUCNUCGNAGUAUUGCUUGUACGUACUUGUGCAUUUAUUUGCAAAAUGUUGUCGGCGUGCACUUCUCCCCUAGUAGAACGUCGCGACCCGUUGGGUGUCGGUCUACGACCCGAGUNGGGAGCCUUNUGAUAUUUUNAUAAUAUUAAAGACCCUUGGUGUUUUCUGACCGGCUGC
This 205-nucleotide ribosomal RNA is filed under the name Heerz ecmahla. RNAcentral describes it as "partial 28S ribosomal RNA". Lineage: Eukaryota; Metazoa; Arthropoda; Insecta; Hymenoptera; Braconidae. The record is from RNAcentral.